UCCAGUUGCUAAGCAACUCUCCCCAUUUACAACAGCCAAUCAGACUGCGCUUCCAGUAAUGGCUGCCUGAUCGCUCCUCCUCCUUGCUCUGCUCAGCUUUUGCAAGCAAGGCCUGAAUCUACCUGUACAUCGACCUUGUAAGGUUGGCAGAAGCUGGGGCUAACAGCGGAAGCUCACCUCGCUCCCCGGAUUCGAACGGCAGACCUUUCAGUCAGCAAGUUCAGCACCUCAGUGGUUUAACCCACUGCACCAUUAGGGGCUCCUAUUUGUACACAUAGAAAACCCUCAAUAAAAAUUAUAAAGAAAAAACAAAAAAACACAGUUUAAUAAGAUUGUAAAGAGAAAUAGGGGACAGAUGUUUUGAAAAGAUACAAGAUUUGUAUUUGGCAAAUGUGUCCUGAGAAUACUGAAUUUUGCAAAGGAGCCAGACCAAUGUGGUAUGUUUAUUGUUAAGAAGAUAAGAAUGAGGACAACCAGAUGGCUGAGCUACUCAGACCACAUUGGAACCAAAUCCUUACACAGAUCGGAAGGCAAAAGAAAAAGAAAAAGAAAAGAAAGAACAGUGAGGCUUGCUUUCUGCUUUUUACCCUGUCGUUGCUAGAACUUAUUUUGGAUUUAUUAGAGAUGGAGCAAUGUCCUUCUCCAGAAGAUUUACAGAAGUUUCUGGAAAAGAUAAGAUCUUUCAGAAAUGAUGCUAUGUUAAUAUUAAAAGAAGAACUGAAAGAAAAUUAAGCAAUGGCCAGAGAAUCUAUUUCAGUUUGCAAGGCAGUAGUGCGUGAAGCUGAGUUAAAUACAAGAGGAAGAAUACGUUAAAGGAAAUACCUUAAAAUAGGUUAAGAACUUCGGUAAUAAUAUUCCAAUGGAUUAACAGGAAGAUAUGAGGUUAAAGGAAUAGAGAUUAUAUUGUUACUAGCUGUGCCCGGCUACGCGUUGCUGUGGCGAAGUCAGGUGGUAUGGGAAAUAAAGUAUUGAGGAAUUGGUGGUAGUUAAGGUCAAGGGUAAAGGUUUUCCCCUUACAUUAAGUCCAUUAUAAAUGGGCUAUAUAGCUGUGUGGAAGGGCCUUGAGUCUACACUGCCAUAUAAUCCAGUUAAAAUCAGAUAAUCUGUAUUUUAUAGGCAGUGUGGAAGAGGCCUAAGUGAGGCCUAACUCUGCCUGUCCCCUGGGCUGAGUGGGUUGCUAGGAGACCAAGUGGGCGGAGCUUAGCCUUCUAACUGGCAGCAAUUGAAUAAAAACAAUUCUUCCUCUCCCUUUAAUUAGGACUUUAUUUUUCUUUUCUUUUUGUUGUAUGAACGUAGAGGCAUGGAUGACGGGUUGUGCUGCCAAGUUUAGUGUUUCUGGGAUGUGUAGUUUUGUUGUUUUGUCCUAGGCUGAAAUUUCAUUACCCUUUUAUAUAUAUAGAUGGUUUUAAAGAGAAAUGUUAUAAAAUGAAACUUUAUAAAAUGAUGUAGUGUUGAUAUGUUAGAUGGCUUUAUUAGAUGGCUCCUAUGAACUGACACAGGGCCUAAGAUCUGCAAGGGAAGCUUUCCUCUCGGUCCCACCUCUGUUUCAAGUGUGGCUGGUGGGAACAAGUUAUUGAUUUACAUGACUAUGUAUCUUACUGUAUUUUAUGUGUUUUUGCACCACUGAGUGCUUUUGUGAGCCCUCCCAAGUUGUUGGGGAUUGUGGAUGAUAGAUGGUUUUUAAGUGUGCCUGUGAGCCCAGAGACACCCUGCAGAAUGAUGCACCACUCAGCUUUGCAGAACAAAGUAACACAGGAACUUUUACUAAAUUUAAGAAAUCAACAGAACAAUGGUAUUUAGAAUAGUCCCUCUGAUUGCUUCCAGGAAUCAGCAGUCCUUUCUUUGUCCAUGAAUCUGCUUCAGUGAAGAUCAGCAACAAAUAAGGCCUCAAAAAUAGUCAGGCCUCUCUGAGUACAGUGCCAUCUUCUUUCCAGCCAGUACUCAGUAGAUUCACACACAGAGAGAGAAACCUGUUCAAACUGGUUCUCCAGCAGCAGGAUAGCAACAGUUACAAAUCAAUUCCCAGGUCCUUGCAAACUCAGCUAAUUGGCUUUAUGCAUUUGAUUUUCCAGUUAACACACAUAUAGCAAACCCUGACACGAUUCCCUUCAGGGAGAUGGUGGCAGGAUGCAAAUAAAGUUGUCUAUUAUUAUUAUUAUUAUUAUUAUUAUUAUUAUUAUUAUUAUUAUUAUUAUUAUUAUUAUUAGUGUGCAAUGAAUGUGAAUUGUAUUUUGUCUUAUAAUUCUGUUAUGACAUGGAGCAGAAUUGAGAAAACGUGUUAGGAUGGAAGAGAUUAAAUUGAUCAUUAUUGGAGUAGAUUUUCAGUGAUGAACAAAAACAUUUUGUUUAGAAUUAUGUUUGCAUUUCAGACAGCAUAUGCUUUUAUAACUAAUGUAUAUAGUUUAAGCAACGACAAAAAGGUACAUUUAUAUGAAAAUGCAUGUAUUUUGGAAAUGUGAGUAAGGGAUGUUUUAUUGAUUUUAAAGAGUAAACUUAAAUCUGAACUGGAGCCUUUUUUUUGGGGGGGGGGGAAUAAUGGAUGUACAGUUGGGAAAGAGAUGGAAGAUAGAUUAUAGUGUACAAAUAUGAUAGCAAGAUUUUUAUGUGUAAUGAUGGAAGCCUUAUCCAAACUGGAGAAAUGGUCAUCAAUGUCAACAUGUUUUGGUUGAAAUAAAUUGUUUUGGUUUGCUUAGAGACUUUUUAUAGACAUUUUAUAAUAAAAAAGAAAAUAGUGGUUUUAGGCUGAAUAAGUGAUUUAAAGAAGAGAACAUGCUGUAAUGUUUAGAGAGAAUAACUUUUUGUACAUAUAAUUGUUGAAAGGAAGACUGGAAAUUUUCUCUUAAUUUUUCUUUUUCUCUAUUUUUUCCAAUUUCUGUAACUGUUAAUGUUUUUUAUUCUCAAUAAAAAAUGAAGAGUUCCAUAAUAAAUCUGAGAAAACAUUCAGGGAAUAUAGAAGGCUCCAUGGGAAGGAGAGCAGACAUGGUGUAGUGGUUUGAGCACUGGAAUAAUGACUCUGGAGGUAAAGGUAAAGAUUUCACCUUGAGAUUAAGUCUAGUCGUGUCUGACUCUGGGGGUUGGUGCUCAUCUCCAUUUCUAAGCCGAGGAGCCGGCAUUGUCCAUAGAUGCCUCCAAGGUCAUGUGGCUGGCAUGACUGCAUAGUCACGUUACCUUCCCGCAUAAGCAGUAUCUAUUCAUCUACUCACAUUGUUUUCGAACUGCUAGGUUGAUAGAAGCUGGGGCUAACAGUAGGAGCUCACCCCGCUCACCGGAUUUAAACCACCGACCUUUCAGUCAGCAAGUUCAGCGGCUCAGCAAUUUACCCCACUGCGCCACUGGGGGCCAUGUUGACUCUGGAGAACAGGCAUCAAAUCUGCACUCAGCCAUGGAAACCUACUGGGUGACCUUAGGAAAGUCACACUCUCUCAGCUUCAAAGGAAGGUAAAGACACACACUCCCAAACAACUCUUCUGAUAGGGUUGUCACAAGUCAGAAAUGUCUUAAAAGGCACACAAGACAACAAAUAGGAAGGGCUAAUUGGCGAUGGCAGUCUCCCAAUUCAGCCAGCAGAAUUUCUCAUCGAGAGCAAAAGCCUCCUGUUAAUGAAUGGAGCUCUUCCAUAUACAGGAGGAUUUUGUGAGAUACCACCUAAUAUUUCUGUAGCAAAAAAUACUUUGGUUUUAGAUUAUUCACACAGAAUGUAUCAUAGCAGGCAUCAUCUCAUUUGAGGCUUUUGUUGUUUGCAUAACAAAGCAUGUGUCUUUUAUGUUAUUGUUUGCUGUCUGCAGUUUUUUAUAAGCACUUGUUAUAUAAACAGCAUCUACCUGGUUAAUUGACUUUUUAAGUCAAUCAAUCAUAGAGUUGGAAGAGGCCCCAAGGGCCACCCAGUCCAACCCCCUGCCACGCAGAAACACACCAUCAAAGCACUCCUGACAGAUGGUACUUUUAAUAGAUUAACCCCACUGAUUCAUCUCGGAAGCCCUAAUUAAAAAAAGAAUCCAACACUGGGCUUGAUGCCAGCUGUGCUUUUAUAUCCAUCUACAAUAUCCAGGACAUAAUAGGGCAAAUCGUAUUAUUUGUGUUCAUUUGAAGUAUUCCCUCUUUAUUGAGCAGCUUUCUUCAGAAGCAAAUUGAAAUCCAUGUGAGAGGUGCAUUUCCCUAUUGCAUCAACAGAGGAAAAUUGAAUGAGACCUGAGAAUACAAGCUUAUCAACCAUGAUUUUAAAGGCCAAGAGCUAUACCAUUUUUGUACAGCAUUAAAAUACAGAAUCAAUACGGACAUAAUACAGUACUGGAUGGCUGCUUUUCCACAACAAAAUGAAAAAUUUAUCAGAAACACUUUUAUAACACUCGUCCGAAAACUCAGACACAAACAUCAAGGAAAAAGACAAUGAAUGAGAAGUCAGCAAAAAAAAAUAUAUUGUUAUAUGUAUAUAUAUAUGCACUAGUAGCUAGAGAAGCAAUAUAACAUUUCACAUCUCAGCUGGAAAUUAUAAUUGUAUCAUCAUUCAUUACCAUCAAUACCACCAUAUUUUUAUUCCACAAAGUUUAGGUUUCUGUGGUUUCUAGUUUGCAUAAAAAUAUAGUAUACCAAUAACUUAUUUACUGGCUAAAAACAUUUUUAGUUGCUAUUUCUUUAAAGGUGCCUCACAGUAUUUUGUUUUGUAAAAGUGGGACAAAUUGGCUUUACAAAUACAUAAGAAUAGUUUUAAGGACAGGCUGUAAAGGAUACAAGAAUAACACUAUGAUAAAGUAACCAUCAACAGUGCCAUAACUUCCAUGCUUGCAGUGAAGUAGUUGAAGGACAUGCCAGUUCUACAGAAGAAUUUAUAUAAUGGAGUUUACCUGAAGGAUUUCUCACCAAAUCCAGAAUGCAUUAAUUGUUUUUCAAGUCCCAUUGAGUCACUUUAAAAAAAUCUUCUAAGCUUAGUUGCAAAGCCAAUAGUAAAUCCAUGAGAUAUAGAUUCAGUGGUUGUAAGUACAUAAAUAAUUUUUCCCUAUUGUACAAACACUCUUGGCUUUAUGUGUCUGCACUUUUGACAGUGGAGUGACUCUGAAUAAUAAUGCAUCUGCAAAGCAAAGCUGGACCAGAGAUAGUUACUGAGUAAAAAAGAAGCCUCUCUUUUGGACCUCCCCUAAAAGUCUGUUAACAUUCUCUCAUUCUCAUGUGCUUUGUGAUUUUACAAACCAUUUUAAGAUUAACCGGAUUUGAUUUGCGUCUUCUAGAUAGCUUGGGUUUACCAGGUUUUUCUAUGUUCAAUGUGUUGUCAAAGGCUUUCAUGGCAGGAAACACAGGGUUGUUGUGUGUUUUCCAGGC
Long non-coding RNA from Anolis carolinensis (green anole), 5313 nucleotides. RefSeq lists it as uncharacterized. NCBI's taxonomy places the organism in Eukaryota, Metazoa, Chordata, Lepidosauria, Squamata, Anolidae. The transcript has 2 exons. The record is from RefSeq and is a predicted model, not a curated record.